Molecule: unclassified non-coding RNA, 438 nt
Filed under: uncultured soil bacterium
Lineage: Bacteria
Description: partial contains small subunit ribosomal RNA, 16S-23S ribosomal RNA intergenic spacer and large subunit ribosomal RNA
Rfam family: Bacterial small subunit ribosomal RNA (bases 1-136)
Source: RNAcentral
CACACCACGAGAGUUUGUAACACCCGAAGUCGGUGGGGUAACCGUAAGGAGCCAGCCGCCUAAGGUGGGACAGAUGAUUGGGGUGAAGUCGUAACAAGGUAGCCGUAUCGGAAGGUGCGGCUGGAUCACCUCCUUUCUAAGGAUAAUGCAGUCCUCUCGGACUGAUAAAAAGUUGACCGCUUUUUGUUUGUUUAGUUUUGAGGGAGCAAUUCUCUCAAAAAUUCGUUCUUUGAAAACUAGAUAAUCGUAUAGAAGAAACCAAGUAAAAACCGAGUAAAAUCGCCAUUUUAGAAUACUCUCUAUUAAUUUAGAGUAAAACCUUUUAGGUUAAGUUAGAAAGGGCGCACGGUGAAUGCCUUGGCACUAGGAGCCGAUGAAGGACGGGACUAACACCGAUAUGCUUCGGGGAGCUGUAAGUAAGCUUUGAUCCGGAGAUUU